UUCUCGUAUCGAUGAAGAACGCAGCGAAACGCGAUAUUUCUUGUGAAUUGCAGAAGUGAAUCAUCAG
This 67-nucleotide ribosomal RNA is filed under the name Geotrichum candidum. RNAcentral describes it as "partial 5.8S ribosomal RNA". It matches the Rfam family "5.8S ribosomal RNA", at positions 25 to 95 of the family's 154-position model. From Rfam's summary of the family: 5.8S ribosomal RNA (5.8S rRNA) is a component of the large subunit of the eukaryotic ribosome. It is transcribed by RNA polymerase I as part of the 45S precursor that also contains 18S and 28S rRNA. The record is from RNAcentral. Lineage: Eukaryota; Fungi; Ascomycota; Dipodascomycetes; Dipodascales; Dipodascaceae.